This 253-nucleotide ribosomal RNA is filed under the name uncultured bacterium. RNAcentral describes it as "partial 16S ribosomal RNA". It matches the Rfam family "Bacterial small subunit ribosomal RNA", at positions 524 to 776 of the family's 1533-position model. The record is from RNAcentral.
GACAGAGGGGGCAAGCGUUGCUCGGAAUCACUGGGCUUAAAGGGCGCGUAGGCGGCCAACUAAGUCAGACGUGAAAUCCCCAGGCUCAACCUGGGAACUGCGUCUGAUACUGGAUGGCUUGAAUCCGGGAGAGGGAUGCAGAAUUCCAGGUGUAGCGGUGAAAUGCGUAGAUAUCUGGAGGAACACCGGUGGCGAAGGCGGCAUCCUGGACCAACACUGACGCUGAGGAGCGAAAGCCAGGGGAGCAAACGGG